Molecule: ribosomal RNA, 463 nt
Filed under: uncultured bacterium
Lineage: Bacteria
Description: bacterial SSU rRNA
Rfam family: Bacterial small subunit ribosomal RNA
Source: RNAcentral
AGUGAACGCUGGCGGCAGGCCUAACACAUGCAAGUCGAGCGGCAGCGCGGGGGCAACCCUGGCGGCGAGCGGCGGACGGGUGAGGAAUGCAUCGGAAUCUACCUCGUUGUGGGGGAUAACCUCGGGAAACCGGGACUAAUACCGCAUACGACCUACGGGUGAAAGUGGGGGACCUUCGGGCCUCACGCGAUGAGAUGAGCCGAUGCCGGAUUAGCUAGUUGGCGGGGUAAAGGCCCACCAAGGCGACGAUCCGUAGCUGGUCUGAGAGGAUGAUCAGCCACACUGGAACUGAGACACGGUCCAGACUCCUACGGGAGGCAGCAGUGGGGAAUAUUGGACAAUGGGCGCAAGCCUGACCCAGCAACGCCGCGUGAGGGAAGAAGGUUUUCGGAUUGUAAACCUCUGUCGCAGAUGACGAAACAAAUAGACGGUAAUCUGUGAGGAAGCCCCGGCUAACUACGUG